CUGCAGCGCAGACUUCUCCCUGGUCUUCUAGGGCCUUGCUUGAGACGGGGUCUCGCUGUGCAGCCUGGGCUGGCCUUGAACUCACGGCAAUCCUCCUGCCUGAGCCUCCUCAGUCCACCACUACACCAGCUUCUCCAGGAUCUUUAAUACUUUUUAAAGCUUCGUUUUUAUUCGCUGAACUACUGAAGCACUCCCUGCACUAAGCGCUGACAACAUAAAUCAGAGGACAGAGUACUCGGCCAUGGGGACCCUCG
RNAcentral lists this long non-coding RNA (254 nucleotides) under Cavia porcellus (domestic guinea pig). RNAcentral describes it as "lncRNA (ENSCPOG00000033223.1)". Lineage: Eukaryota; Metazoa; Chordata; Mammalia; Rodentia; Caviidae. The record is from RNAcentral.